GUUUUAAUAAUUUAAAAAAAAUAUUGAUUUUGUAAAUCAAAUAUAAAGCUAUCUUUUUAAAACU
This 64-nucleotide transfer RNA is filed under the name Staphylinidae sp. 1 EF-2015. RNAcentral describes it as "tRNA-Thr". Lineage: Eukaryota; Metazoa; Arthropoda; Insecta; Coleoptera; Staphylinidae. The record is from RNAcentral.